RNAcentral lists this transfer RNA (77 nucleotides) under Mycobacterium terramassiliense. RNAcentral describes it as "Mycobacterium sp. AB308 partial tRNA-Pro". The stretch from base 12 to 77 matches the Rfam family "tRNA", at positions 1 to 63 of the family's 71-position model. From Rfam's summary of the family: Transfer RNA (tRNA) molecules are approximately 80 nucleotides in length. Their secondary structure includes four short double-helical elements and three loops (D, anti-codon, and T loops). Further hydrogen bonds mediate the characteristic L-shaped molecular structure. tRNAs have two regions of fundamental functional importance: the anti-codon, which is responsible for specific mRNA codon recognition, and the 3' end, to which the tRNAs corresponding amino acid is attached (by aminoacyl-tRNA synthetases). tRNAs cope with the degeneracy of the genetic code in two manners: having more than one tRNA (with a specific anti-codon) for a particular amino acid; and 'wobble' base-pairing, i.e. permitting non-standard base-pairing at the 3rd anti-codon position. The record is from RNAcentral. Lineage: Bacteria; Bacillati; Actinomycetota; Actinomycetes; Mycobacteriales; Mycobacteriaceae.
CGAGGUCAGCGCGGGGUGUAGCGCAGCUUGGUAGCGCAUCCGCUUUGGGAGCGGAAGGCCGCAGGUUCAAAUCCUGU